This 463-nucleotide ribosomal RNA is filed under the name uncultured Acidobacteriota bacterium. Its description in RNAcentral is "bacterial SSU rRNA". It matches the Rfam family "Bacterial small subunit ribosomal RNA", at positions 224 to 704 of the family's 1533-position model. Lineage: Bacteria; Pseudomonadati; Acidobacteriota. The record is from RNAcentral.
GAGGAGGUCGCGGCUGAUUAGCUGGUUGGCGGGGUAAUGGCCCACCAAGGCGAAGAUCGGUAGCCGGCCUGAGAGGGCGCACGGCCACACUGGAACUGAAACACGGUCCAGACUCCUACGGGAGGCAGCAGUGGGGAAUUUUGCGCAAUGGGGGAAACCCUGACGCAGCAACGCCGCGUGGAGGAUGAAGUCCCUUGGGACGUAAACUCCUUUCGACCAGGAAGAUAAUGACGGUACCGGUGGAAGAAGCCCCGGCUAACUUCGUGCCAGCAGCCGCGGUAAUACGAGGGGGGCAAGCGUUGUUCGGAAUUAUUGGGCGUAAAGGGCGCGUAGGCGGUGCGGUAAGUCACCUGUGAAAUCUCUGGGCUUAACUCAGAGCUUGCAGGCGAAACUGCCGUGCUGGAGUGUGGGAGAGGUGCGUGGAAUUCCCGGUGUAGCGGUGAAAUGCGUAGAUAUCGGGAGG